UGCAACCUUGAACUCCUAUAAGAGGCACAUUGGGAAGACUCCCACAACUGUAAAUGAAAUCUCGUCCAGCCAUACCAUUGUGAGUCCAAGCUAUGUCCUUGGCUCGCAAACCCAUCAACCUGAUUGACCAUUUGACAGUAGGAUCAAGAAAGACAAAGGCACCUCUAGAAGGCAAAUACCCCAUGAACCACUUGUGCAACAACUGAGCACAACAUCUGAUCAAUCCA
This 227-nucleotide long non-coding RNA is filed under the name Lathyrus oleraceus (garden pea). RNAcentral describes it as "Pisum sativum (pea) long non-coding RNA (PSAT_LNC015222)". Lineage: Eukaryota; Viridiplantae; Streptophyta; Magnoliopsida; Fabales; Fabaceae. The record is from RNAcentral.